This 904-nucleotide ribosomal RNA is filed under the name uncultured beta proteobacterium. RNAcentral's name for it is "bacterial SSU rRNA". It matches the Rfam family "Bacterial small subunit ribosomal RNA", at positions 58 to 958 of the family's 1533-position model. Lineage: Bacteria; Pseudomonadati; Pseudomonadota; Betaproteobacteria. The record is from RNAcentral.
CAAGUCGAGCGGCAGCGCGGGGCAACCUGGCGGCGAGCGGCGAACGGGUGAGUAAUGCAUCGGAACGUGUCCAUGUCGUGGGGGAUAGCCCGGCGAAAGCCGGAUUAAUACCGCAUACGCCCGAGAGGGGAAAGUGGGGGACCGCAAGGCCUCACGCGAUUGGAUCGGCCGAUGUCCGAUUAGCUAGUUGGCGGGGUAAAGGCCCACCAAGGCGAUGAUCGGUAGCUGGUCUGAGAGGAUGAUCAGCCACACUGGGACUGAGACACGGCCCAGACUCCUACGGGAGGCAGCAGUGGGGAAUUUUGGACAAUGGGGGCAACCCUGAUCCAGCCAUUCCGCGUGAGUGAAGAAGGCCUUCGGGUUGUAAAGCUCUUUUGUCCGGAACGAAACGGGCGACGUGAAUAUCGUCGUCUACUGACGGUACCGGAAGAAUAAGCACCGGCUAACUACGUGCCAGCAGCCGCGGUAAUACGUAGGGUGCGAGCGUUAAUCGGAAUUACUGGGCGUAAAGCGUGCGCAGGCGGUUUUGCAAGCCGGAUGUGAAAUCCCCGGGCUUAACCUGGGAAUGGCAUUUGGGACUGCAAGGCUGGAGUGCGGCAGAGGAGACUGGAAUUCCUGGUGUAGCAGUGAAAUGCGUAGAUAUCAGGAGGAACACCGAUGGCGAAGGCAGGUCUCUGGGCUGACACUGACGCUCAUGCACGAAAGCGUGGGGAGCAAACAGGAUUAGAUACCCUGGUAGUCCACGCCCUAAACGAUGUCGACUGGUUGUUGGGGGUUUGACACUCUCAGUAACGAAGCUNACGCGUGAAGUCGACCGCCUGGGGAGUACGGCCGCAAGGUUAAAACUCAAAGGAAUUGACGGGGACCCGCACAAGCGGUGGAUUAUGUGGAUUAAUUCGAUGCA